AGAGUUUGAUCCUGGCUCAGAACGAACGCUGGCGGCGUGCUUAACACAUGCAAGUCGAACGGGAUCCAGAGCUUGCUCUGGUGAGAGUGGCGCACGGGUGAGUAACGCGUGGAUAACCUGCCCUGGUAUCUGGAAUAACAUCUCGAAAGGGGUGCUAAUACCGGAUAAGCCCACGGGGUCUUCGGACUCUGCGGGAAAAGGUGGCCUCUGAAUAUGCUACCGUAUCAGGAUGGGUCCGCGUACCAUUAGCUAGUUGGUAGGGUAAUGGCCUACCAAGGCUACGAUGGUUAGCUGGUCUGAGAGGAUGAUCAGCCACACUGGAACUGAGACACGGUCCAGACUCCUACGGGAGACAGCAGUGGGGAAUUUUGCGCAAUGGGGGAAACCCUGACGCAGCAACGCCGCGUGAGUGAUGAAGGCUUUCGGGUCGUAAAGCUCUGUCAGUAGGGAAGAAGUGUAAGGGUGCUAAUACCAUCUUUACUUGACGGUACCUACAAAGGAAGCACCGGCUAACUCCGUGCCAGCAGCCGCGGUAAUACGGAGGGUGCAAGCGUUGUUCGGAUUUAUUGGGCGUAAAGCGCGUGUAGGCGGUUUCUUAAGUCUGAUGUGAAAGCCCUGGGCUCAACCCAGGAAGUGCAUUGGAUACUGGGAGACUUGAAUACGGGAGAGGGUAGUGGAAUUCCUAGUGUAGGAGUGAAAUCCGUAGAUAUUAGGAGGAACACCGGUGGCGAAGGCGGCUACCUGGACCGAUAUUGACGCUGAGACGCGAAAGCGUGGGGAGCAAACAGGAUUAGAUACCCUGGUAGUCCACGCCGUAAACGAUGAGAACUAGGUGUUGCGGGUAUUGACCCCUGCAGUGCCGCAGCUAACGCAUUAAGUUCUCCGCCUGGGAAGUACGGUCGCAAGACUAAAACUCAAAUGAAUUGACGG
RNAcentral lists this ribosomal RNA (930 nucleotides) under uncultured bacterium. RNAcentral describes it as "bacterial SSU rRNA". It matches the Rfam family "Bacterial small subunit ribosomal RNA", at positions 8 to 916 of the family's 1533-position model. The record is from RNAcentral.